RNAcentral lists this transfer-messenger RNA (388 nucleotides) under Solirubrobacter taibaiensis. It matches the Rfam family "transfer-messenger RNA". From Rfam's summary of the family: Bacterial tmRNA, also known as 10Sa RNA or SsrA, is named for its dual tRNA and mRNA-like properties. Its role is to liberate the mRNA from a stalled ribosome. The record is from RNAcentral. Lineage: Bacteria; Bacillati; Actinomycetota; Thermoleophilia; Solirubrobacterales; Solirubrobacteraceae.
GGGGACGACAGGCUUCGACGUGGUCGGAUCGUGGGGUCGGUUGCGAGUCGGGGUGCCGGAGGCCCCGUAAAAAACCGGCACAAAACAAAUGCGGACAAGAAUCCCGCUCUCGUGGCUGAUGAAGCCCACGAGUACGCUCUCGCCGUCUAGCCAAAACUAGAAGGUGAGCCUCAGCGCCCGAGGCCUACGACGGGAUCAGCUGAGUCAUAAGUAGGCUUGCUCUCUGGACGCUCGCCUGAGCCGACGGAGGGGACUUUUGAUCAGGCUGGCCGCUCACAACCUUUGUCGGUGGAGCAACUGAGCGGCGAGAUUUAGACCACCGAACACACUCGUAGACGCCGGCUUGGCGCGACUGCGGACGCGGGUUCAAUUCCCGCCGUCUCCACUC